UACGUAGGGGGCUAGCGUUGUCCGGAAUCAUUGGGCGUAAAGAGCGCGUAGGCGGCCAGACAAGUCCGGUGUGAAAGUCACAGGCUCAACCUGUGAAUGCCGCUGGAAACUGUCUGGCUAGAGUCCGGAAGGGGCGAGUGGAACUCCUGGUGUAGCGGUGGAAUGCGCAGAUAUCAGGAAGAACACCAACGGCGAAGGCAGCUCGCUGGGACGGUACUGACGCUGAGACGCGAAAGCGUGGGGAGCGAACAGG
Molecule: ribosomal RNA, 253 nt
Filed under: uncultured bacterium
Lineage: Bacteria
Description: partial 16S ribosomal RNA
Rfam family: Bacterial small subunit ribosomal RNA
Source: RNAcentral